GAUGAACGCUGGCGGCGUGCCUAAUACAUGCAAGUCGAGCGAACAGACCAGGAGCUUGCUCCUCCGACGUUAUCGGCGGUCGGGAGCGUAACACGUGGAUAACCUAACUAUAAGACUGGGAUACCUUCGGGAAACCGGAGCUAAUACCGGAUAAUAUAUUGCACCGCAUGGUUCAAUAGUGAAAGUAGGUUUUUCUGUCACUUAUAGAUGGAUAAGCGCCGCAUUAGCUAGUUGGUAAGGUAACGGCUUACCAAGGCUACGAUGCGUAGCCGACCUGAAGGGGUGGUCGGCUACACUGGAACUGAGACACGGUCCAGACUCCGACGGUGAGCAACAGUAGGGAAUCUUCCGCGAUGGGGGAGAGCUUGACGGAGCAACGCCGCGUGAAUGAUGAAGGUCUUCUGAUCGGAAAAUUCUGUUAGUAGGGAAGAACAAAUGUGUUAGUAACUAGGAUCGUCUUGACGGUACCGGAUCAGAAAGCUACGGCUAACUACGUG
This 497-nucleotide ribosomal RNA is filed under the name uncultured bacterium. Its description in RNAcentral is "partial 16S ribosomal RNA". It matches the Rfam family "Bacterial small subunit ribosomal RNA", at positions 28 to 507 of the family's 1533-position model. The record is from RNAcentral.